CGUGCAAAUGAUGAUAAAAAAGACAGGGACAUCAGCAACUCCUUUGAGGAUGAUGAUUUGUCGUUGGGAAUCUCUCUGAUGCACG
Punica granatum (pomegranate) is the source of this 85-nucleotide non-coding RNA. Lineage: Eukaryota; Viridiplantae; Streptophyta; Magnoliopsida; Myrtales; Lythraceae. The record is from Rfam.